This 1761-nucleotide ribosomal RNA is filed under the name Triticum aestivum (bread wheat). RNAcentral's name for it is "partial small subunit ribosomal RNA". Lineage: Eukaryota; Viridiplantae; Streptophyta; Magnoliopsida; Poales; Poaceae. The record is from RNAcentral.
AUGAGUCGAUCAGGCGGUGGAGGUCCAGGGAGGGGACCACUAGGUGUGGUGAUUGUGUAUGCAUUUGACCGCAGCACCUCGACCGUGGCUUGGGAUAAGGUGGACAAUGAGAUCUUUUGGAUGGUGCAAGAGAAACUCACCCAUUUCACGGAUACCUGGCUUGGCUACACAUAUAUUGCGUCGAGCCCUAACAAGUACACAUCUGAUAUGAAAUUAGUUGAUUCUACCGAGAUAAAGGCAAAUGGGUAUAAAGAAAGCUCGGCAUGGAGGAGGAUUGCAGUCACGAAGGACAUGCCGUCUGCACUCUCCCAGGCACAUAAAAUGAUCAAUGAUCAAGGGGACUUGCAUGGCAUCAUCUUAUUCUUCUCCGAUGGGUUGAUUAACAAGGGUGCCUUCUUUGAUGGGGCUGAGGAAUUCAUCUCAAAAGUGCCUGUGCACACGUUUACUCUCAGCGGGGAUGCUUAUAACCAUGUUCUUCGUGCCAUUGCAGCAAAUUCCCCAGGUGGGACUUUCAGCCCUCUCCAAGUUCCGGACAAGCCGAGUCUAUCACUGCCCUUCUCGCAAGUGCUGGAUAGCAUCCUUAAUGGCACCAAGCAUCCUAGUACCAAUUCAGGGAGGCGGCCCCUGGAUGUGGUUCUUGUGUAUGCAUUUGACUGCACCACUACCCCAAGCCCGGCUUGGGACAAAAUGGAACAUGAGAUCUUUUGGUUGGUGCAGGAGAAGCUGAAGCACUUUGCAGAUAGUUGCCUCGGCUACACAUAUGUCAUGUCGACCCCUAACACAUGCACGUAUGAUAUGAAACAAGUUGACCUUGUAGAGACAAAGUUAACUGGCUAUGCAGGGAGCUCGGCUUGGAGAAAGAACCCAUGCACAAAGAAUAUGGCGUCUGGCCUCCCCAUGGCACAUAAACUGAUGAGCGAUCAUGGGCACCUGAAUGGUGUCAUCUUGCUCUUCUCUGACGGGUUGAUUAACAAGGGUGACUUCUUUGAUGGAGCUGAAGACUUCAUCUCCAAAGUGCCGGUUCACACAUUUACUCUUGCUGGAGGUGCAUAUAACCAUGGUCUUCGCGCCAUUGCAGCGAAUUCCCCGGGUGGGACGUUCAGCCGCAUCCCUGUUCCAGACAAGCCAAGUCUAUCGGUGCCCUUCUCGCAAAUUCUAGAUAGCAUCCUUAAUGGCACCAAGCUUUCUCCAGGGAGGUUGCCACUGGACGUGGUGCUUGUGUAUGCAUUUGACUGCACCAUUACCCCAAGCCUGGCCUGGGACAAGAUGGAACAAGAGAUCUUUUGGCUGGUGCAAGAGAAACUCACCCACUUCAAGGAUAGUCGUCUCGGCUACACAUAUGUCAUGUCGACCCCUAACACGUACACGCAUGAUGUGAAACUAGUUGACUCCAAGGAGACAAAGACAACUGGUUACUCCGCAAGCUCAGCUUGGAGAAAGAACCCAUGUACGAAGAACAUGGCGUCUGGCCUCCCCGUGGCACAUAAACUAAUGAGAGACCAUGGGUGCCUGAAUGGCAUCAUCUUGCUCUUCUCCGACGGUUUGGUUAACAAGGGUGACUUCUUUGAUGGAGCUGAGGACUUCGUCUCCAAAGUGUCGGUGCACACGUUUACUCUCGCAGGAGGUGCAUAUAACCAUGGUCUCCAUGCCAUGGCAGCGAAUUCCCCAGGCGGAGUGUUUCACCCUGAACCAGUUCCUAAUAAGCCGAGUGAAUCGGUGUCCUUCUCGCAGCUGCUGGAUAGCAUACUCAUCGCUCCAUGA